UUUGAGACAACUACAACAUUUUCCUCUUUUAAUUGAACAAGAUCAGCUCUGGGUCCUAGGAAAAGCUGGAAUGUGGUCAUGAUUCUUCUUUUCUUAAACCACUGUUGGAUUUUGUUCUACAUUUCAUGUGUUAUUGAGUCACGUCCACAUGUUCCUGGCUUUCCCCUAACUUUAUGAUUUUCUCCUCUUUUUUGUUUGAAACGGGGUGUUGUUAUGUAGCUUCUGUUGUUCUUAAUCUUGUUAUAUUGUCCAGACUGGAUUUCAACUUAAUAUUCUCCUCACUCAGCAUCCACUUUGCCGAGAUUAUAAUCCUGUAACCUACAGCUACCUUUUACUUUUCUGUUUUAGCAUCAAAGAUCCCCAGCCUGGUAAAGUCUCCUGAGGUUGUUUGCUUGAAGGGUUUGUAAUCAUUUGGAUCCAUGUGUCUGACUUUGUUUCCCUCCUUCACCAUCUGUGUGUGCAUGUGUGUGCGUGUGCCUCUGUGUGUGUGUGUGUGUGUGUGUGUGUGUGUGUGUGUGUGUGUGUGUGUGCCUGCACCUAGGAAUGAAUUCAGAGUCUCACACAGGCUUUCCAAAUGAGUUAUUCUCUUGAGGAAUUCAUGUUUCUUGAAUGUAGAACAGAACUUGCUAGAAAAAUAUCCUGGUUUUGGUGUUUUCUUUUGGGGGAAACGCUGUAACUCUCAUUCACUCUCUAGUGGCGAUAUGAAUGCUCCAGUCCCCUCAGUUUUCUUUUGGUAGAUUAUAUUUUUCAAGAAUUCAUCAAUUUUCUCUACAUUUUCCAAUCAAUUGGUAUGUAUGACAAUAGCGCUGUUUCCCUAAAAUUAUUUAAACUUGAUUAGUAUUAAGUUAAUUUAGUGUUAAAUGUUAAAUGUAGGAGAUAUUGUAAGAUUUUUUUCCCAUCAGCAUUAGACAGGUGUGGUGGUUUAAAUAGGUUUAUCGCUCAUAGAUUUUUCUGUUUGAAUGUUUGGCCCAUGGGCAAUGCUACUAUUAGGAGGCAUAGCCUCGAUGGAGUAGGUGUGGCCUUAAAGGAGGUGUGGCCUUGGAGGAGGAGUGGCACUGUAGGGGUGAGCUUUGAGGUCUCCUAUGCUUAAGUUCCACCCAGUGUCAAAUUCCAGUCUCUUCCUGGCUGCCUUUGGAUCAAGAUGUAGAGCUCUGUGCUCCUCCAGCACCAUGUCUACCUGUACACUGCCAUAUUUCCUGCCAUGACGAUAAGGGACUGAACCAUUAAAACCUGUAAGCCAGCCACAAUUAAAUGCUGUACUUUUGUAAGAAUGACCUUGGUCAUGGUGUCUCUUCACAGCAGUCAAACCCUAAGAUAGAAGAUUAGAUACUAAGUGUUUAAAAUGCUAAACUUUAUAUUUUUCUUUCUCCUUUUAAAUUUUUGUUUCUUUUGAUUUUUGAGAAAAGAUUUGUCUCCGUAGUCAGGGCUGGUGUAGAGCUCAUCAGUGUCCCAGUUCUGGAAUUACAGCCCUGAACCACCCUGCCCAGCUGUUUAAUGUUUUAAAUAGCCUAAGCUAAUUUAAUUAAGCAUAGAAGUGAUAUUAAACACUGAGAGGACACAUGAGCUAACUGAGCCAUAAUCAAAGAGCAAGGUAAGGAGACAACAUAAAAACAAUAGCUUGAUACACAAAAUAACAAGUUGUGCAAGCUGAACCAAACAAAACUAGUCCUUUGAUUCUUCAAAAUAAGUAACCAGACAAAGAUCAUCAAGUAUUCUUUCCCAUGCAAAAAAAAAUCUCUUCAGUCAUUUAAAACACUGCUGAUAAUUUUAGGUUACAAAGUGAUACAGAGGAGUCAGACCUGUUGGCUUUUGUUUAAUUCUCAAGAGAAAGAGACCUGCAGGGGCAGUGGAGUAAGAAUUCUUAUUAAAAGAAAAUAAGGUAAAAGGAUUGGAGAGAUGGCUCAGUAGGUUAGAGCCCUGGCUCUUCUUCCAGAUGACUGGGGUUUGAUUCUCAGCACCCAAAUGUCAGCACCCAGCUCUCUAUAACUCCAGUUCCAAGGGGUCUGAUGCCCUCUUCUGGCUUCUGUGGGCACUGCAUGCAGGUGGUGCACAGACAUCCAUGAAAGCAAAACACCCAUAUUUACAAUGUUAACUUUUGAAAUUUGGACAGUUGGAAAGAUUAUGUGAGGGAAUCAUGGUACUGUGUGCCUAGCACAAUGGAGAUGGAGGCUAGAGCAUCAUGAAUUAGUUCAGUUAAGCUACAUUGCAAGAUUCUCAUAGUAAAACAAGUAAAAUGGAUUAUAUGUCAAAAGAACUUGGAAUUUAAUUUUCUCAUGUUCAUAUUUUUAUUGUUAUCUUGUAAAAGAUUUUUCAACUACUUUAAUUCUGGGUGUGUGUUCAAGCAUACAUGCCUGCACAGUAUAAUACAAUGCCCAUGGGUAGAAGAGGGUGACUUGUUCCCCUGAAACUGGAGUUAGAAUUGGGUCUGAGUGUCCAAGUAGGUGCUGAGAACUGAACUAGGUCCUCUGCAAGGGCAGCAAGUCCUGUCAGCCUCUGAGCCAUCUGUCCAGCCUCCUGUCAUCUCUUUCUAAAAGGAAAAGGGAAUUUUACAGUAAUGACUAUGCUGUUAGACUAUAGAGCUUUCCCAGGGACAGAAGGCUCUUGCAUUCCAUCCCAAAUGCCUGCUUCAUCGACAAGAAGAAAUCACCAAAGAUUAUCAUCACAGCCUGGGAGUGGAGCCACCUCCGCACUUGGUGAAAAGGUCCAGCCCAGUGACCUCUCAAACCUCAACAUGCUUAGGAGACACCUGCCAGUGUAAAGUUCCAAAACUGGGAAGCAAGACCUUAGCACUCCAAGGAGUUCCCAGGUCAGGCAGUCGCAAGGCCCACCCAUGUCGCGCGCCCAAUGUCCCACCAGCAAGAAUGACGCCCGGCAACAGGUUUCUUCUGCGAACAAGCCUUUACUGUGUUACAGCUCUUCUUAGUGUUACAGCUCUCUUAGUGUUACAGCUCUCUUGAACAGGGACCCCGAGCAGCAAAAUCGCUCGACUUAUAUAGACAACAGUAUGCUAAUUAUCUCUCAGGGAUUGGUGGGGCAUGGAUCACCCCACUAUCACCCCACUACUUGUCCUCCAGGGAUUGGCGGAGAAUGAAUCACCCCAUUAGCAUGGUACUGCCCCUCAUUAACAUAUUAACGGUCAACUGACACCUGGUGCAUAAACCGCACAUGUGCAGUACCGCUGUUCACCACUAGAGGGAGCCCUAGCAAGGGGACAAGCCUGCACAUGCGCAGUAAGUUGUCGACAUCCAGACAAGGCUGGAUGUCGGCGCCAUCUUUGUUUCGCCGCGCCGCUCUCUACACACCCAGAAGAGGCCAAUCUUCCGCAGUGACCACCUGGUUCACAGAGGCUCUUUCCCACCAGGCAGUAGAUGUGGUGCUGAGCCCCAUGUUCGCUGGCUGAAACUUCGAAGACAUAUGCAAUACACAGCAAGGUCUCCUGUGUGUCUCGGUUGGUGACCACCUGCAGUAGAGAAGGUGAAGGUCAAAACCCUGGAUAGGGAAGCCAUUGGCACCACCCACUGAUGCACUCCCUUAUGGGCAUCUGCCGCAUGUCGUACCUGCAGGAUGGUGAAGUUCUCCAGCACGCUGUUCAUCAUGUACUUCUCUGGCUGCCUGCCCUGAAGAGAAGCAGGAAAUUCUGCCCAAGUGGAAGGUUUCUGUGGCUCUCCAUAUUUGAAAAAUAUAGGAGAGCCUCUGCUAUCCCUGAAUCCUGGCUUGGUGCCGGUCUUUCUGGUUGCUUCCAAAACAAUAGAACUCCCAGCACGACUGACUCUGGAUCUGGGCUCAGUGCAGUAUUGUUGUCGAUGGAAAAAGAACUCAAGAGAGAUGCACACACAUGCACCCCAGAUGCAAGCCAGGGCCACAUAGACUAGGCAAGUGCUCCACAACUGUACUAGUCUGACCUCUACGUUGUCUCCUUUCUGGGGUUUCCAGUCUCUCGCCCAGUUUCAGGCAAAGCCUGACCACCCACCAUCAGUCCACCUGCUUUCCAGAGAGCUGACUGAGGCACCGAGGGAGGCAGAAGGUCUGCAGGGCACUUUCGAGGUAUGUUUUUUGGCUACUGUGAUAAAACACCAAAGAGAAACAAGGUGUGGUUUGUGAGAAUCCCGUAUGUUGAGGGAGAUAAGGUAAGGUUACAGAAAGGGCUCUCACCAGGGGCUGUGGAACAGGUGGCUCAGCUCGGUCACCUCUAGAUAGAUCAAGACAUAGAGAGCUCAGGGUGGCACUGUGCUGGCUUGUAAUGUUCAAGCCUUUCCUUUAGGAUACUAUGACUAGCAAGGCUCUGAACCCUUCCAUAGCAGUGCCACUAGCUGGGGACCAAGUGUUCAAACACUCGGGCCUGUAGGGACAAUACACACUGAGGCCAUGAUGCUAGAGUUGAGGUUAGUCACUGCUCUCCCAGCCUCCUCAUCCAUGAAAAGAUCGUCUGUAGGAGCACAGUGCAGCUGUGAACAUCCAGCUUGAAAAUGUUUUCGAAGGGUUUUGUAAACUGAAGUGCAAGGAGGAGCAGAGCAUGGCCGCGGAUGCCUGUCACAGAAGCCUUUGGAAGGCUGAGACAGGGUGGAAACUUUUGUCUCAGACGGUGUAGGUAGAUAUCAUUGUCAUCGUCAUUGUCAUCGUCAUCAUCACCUCCAUUUGCCUCAACUGUGUUGCCUCCAAAUUUGCUACCAGAUUGAAUGAUGUUGUAGAUUAGAAUUAAGUUUGACCCUAAUUCCAAAAACAGUAUCAGGUCAUUCCACAAUGAAAUGACUUAAACAUGAAAAAUGUAUUUCACAUGAAAUCCAUGAGAACAGUGUAACACUGUGAUCUUUCUGCUAUGUCCUGAGUAGUUGCCACUCUAAGAUCAUCUCAGAGUCCAGUGUAGUUACACUGCUACAUAUUCAGACUACAUCCCGCCAUUACACCAUUCUCCCUACAAUUCCCUAGAACAAAGUACGUGCCUCUCUCUCUCUCUCUCUCUCUCUCUCUCUCUCUCUCUCUCUCUCUCUCUCUCUCUCUCUUUUAAGAUUUAUUUAUUAUGUACACAGAGUUCCACCUGCAUGUAUACGUGCAGGCCAGAAGAGGGCACCAGAUCUCAUUAUCAAUGAUUGUGCGCCACCAUGUGGUUGCUGGGAAUUGAACUCAUGACCUCUGGGAGAGCAGACAGUGCUCUUAACCUCUGAGCCAUCUCUCCAGCCCAUGCCCCUCCCUCUUAGGUCCCUCCUGGAAAUCUUUCUUCUACUUACCUCCACCAGCCAAACAAUGGAAGCUGGGAAACAUGGUUUUAUUCUGUCUAAAUUAAAAUAAAAAAAAAAAGGUGUGGUCAUAUUACUUGAAAAGGUGACAGCGGUCUCUACAUAGGUGGUCACUUCUCCAUCCUCAUCUUCAUCUCUCUCAUCUCCCUCAGAAUAGCAGAAGCUGAACUCCCCUGACCCUAAAACCUUUUUCCUUUACCACUGAGAACAAAUCACACUCCUGCUUCUCCUCUUCUUUCUGUAAAUGCACCAUGUCUCAACACAGGGCUAACCACAGCUUCUUUUCUCAUCCCCAACUUUCCUCUCAGUGAUGGCCCCAACUCCCAACCCAAAUAAGAAUCUGCUGUCCUUCCUGAGUCUGGUCCAGGGAGGAAGGUGUCCACUAAAGGGCAGGCCCAGGCAUCCAGGCAAGGCCCAUGCAUCCCUGCUCAGGUCCAGGAGCCAAGGGAGAAAGUGCAGCAGGUUCAUCAGGCAUCAGGCCUCUCUGAAGCCCAGACUAGGUCACUUUAGCACAGUAGAGUGGUUGAUCUGAGUAAAGUGCCUGGUCUUGCUGUGGAACCAUGACCAGCCUCCUAGUGUGCCCUUUCCAAGACCAUUCUACUCUUGGGUGCUGUGUUCGGCUCCUGCUCCCAUAGGCUUGGUUCUGCAGGGCCUAUUCCAGUGCUUACCUGCCCUGCAUGUACCUCUGGUCUGUGUGCUCCAGUGCACACCUGCCCUGUGUGCACCGAUGGUUUGUGUGCUGCAGUGCAGCUGUCCUCUGUGCACUGCUGGUGUGUGUGCUCUGUAACAAGAGCAGAACUCCAUUCCUGCACAAAGAAAUCACAUAAGCACAGACAUCUGUGUUUCAGCAGACUUUACUGAAGACUUGAAUAGGUGAAGGAGGUUUACAUAGAAAAAAAUACAAAAACCUUAAAAUUGAAUAUUAGACAUCUGUAGAGUGUAAAAAAGGCCACCAUUCCCACUGCCUGGGUUCUGGCUGUCCAGGAAGGCACACACAUACCUGUGCCCUUUUUAAUUCACAAAGUCUAUAUACAAAAGCCAAGUCGCAGACACUUUUUUGAAGAUAUUUAUUUAGAGAUUCGGCUCCACUGUGUAAGUCCAUGGUGGUGUCCUUCUGCUUCUCGGGGUCAGGGGUUGGGGAUAGAGAGGAUCACAGCUGUGCAGCCGGGUACUUGGCUGGGCAGAUCAGUUAGCUACAUUCUAUAAAGAAUCAAGCCUUUGGGGCAAAGGUCAUUUUCUUUUUGAUCUGUAAGAUGGGUUACCCGAGGUGCCACUGACCCCUGCUACUCGAGCUCUAAGAAGUUUUCAGCACAGGGUCCGGCCCAGGAGGCCACAAUGUAGAAACCGUGGGGGAAGCUCCCACUGUUCUGGUGUUUCUCUUCUGUUCCUGGGUGCCCAGAUAGGGGAUACACUGCCCCAGGUCCCAGGUCCCAGCCUUCCCUCAGUCCUGCAACCUCUGCCAACCUACUCUGUCCCCAGACUGGGAAAGACUAGACUGAGUGCACCAUAGACUAGGGACAAAAGGUCUAUUGCAGAAGUCUAGGAAACAACCAUUUGUACACAUGCAUACAUAAGCGUCUCUCUCUCUCUCUCUCUCUCUCUCUCUCUCUCUCUCUCGUGUUUAUUCAUUUAUUUAGUUUUUUGUGUGUGCAUUGUUUUGUGUAGGGGUGGGGUUGUGUGGUGGUGGGGUGGGCACACACUUUC
Non-coding RNA from Rattus norvegicus (Norway rat), 6938 nucleotides. The record is from RefSeq and is a predicted model, not a curated record. Lineage: Eukaryota; Metazoa; Chordata; Mammalia; Rodentia; Muridae.